RNAcentral lists this unclassified non-coding RNA (263 nucleotides) under Hevea brasiliensis (rubber tree). The record is from RNAcentral. Lineage: Eukaryota; Viridiplantae; Streptophyta; Magnoliopsida; Malpighiales; Euphorbiaceae.
GUCAAGCUCCGCCGCCUCUCACAGCAACGAACUACGACUCCUAGAGACCGCGAUCCAGACUUCGAGUGCUCCUGCUACGUUCAUCAAUGGCGUUUCCUUAUCUGGAAUCGGUUGUAGGUUUUAUGGUUUUAGUUUACUUUUUUGAGACGUAUCUUGACAUUCGGCAGCAUAGAUCCCUCAAAUUGCCUACUCUACCUAAAGCUUUGCAAGGAAUUAUCAGUGAAGAAAAAUUUGAGAAGUCUAGAGCUUAUAGUCUUGAUAAA